GAAAUUGGCAAAAACACACAGUUAGUGGAAUGACAAGCAGAAUUGGACUAAAAGCUUCUCAGUGUUUUGCUUUGAAUUAAAAAUGACGAAAUAAGCCUUUGGAUGUGACUAGCAAAUGUAAAAGCUUGAAGAGAACCAACGCACAUGUUAUUGGGCCAGCAAAGUCAAGGUGUUGAUUGUUGAGACAUGGACUAUCUGAUUGUUCUAUAAGAUUUUGCUAGGAAAUUUUUCGUUUUGAUGAGUUAUUACGCUUUGGUAUAUUGACCUUCCUGCUAUGAACAAUUCUACCUCCAAUGAUGGUUCUGAGUCUCUAAACUGCUAGAGCAUGCCGGAUCGAGCUUCUCCUCACCGAGAGCUCCCCGUGGCAAGAUUCGGUCAGGUUUUUGCCUCCCGGAGUGCUCGAGGUUUAGGGUUCGUACUUGCCAGCUAUAAAUUGCUCCGAGUAGCUCUCUGAUGGCGGCCCAGCUAAGUGCUAUCUCAUCUCUUCUUUUCUUUGGCCGUUCUUUCGUUUCAGGGGCUUCAUUUACGUAUAUUGUUCGAUUGGAUCUGCGGAACAUCGCCAAGUUCUUUUCUUUAUAGCUAAAUCAGAUUAAUAUAUUUUUUGUUUGAUAAGUUUCCUUUUUUCCGUUUAUUUAGUCUUCUUGCAGAUAAUUAGCUUCGUCUGCGUUUGCGGGACACGAAGUACAUAUAGGAAAAGUCUAUGGGACAAAGAAAGAAUGAAGAAGUUGCAACUUGUUAUUGGUAGAAGACUAUGACUUCUUAAUGUAAAGGUCCAUCACAAAUGGCUUCUUCUAAGCUAUCUGUUCUCAUCGUUGGUCUCCUGGUUUUAUCUCUUGUCAUGCUUGUGGCAUCCACUGAAAACCCAAUUAACGAGCCAAAAGCAACCUGCGUAUCUAUCGGGGUGCCAUGCAAGUCGGAUGGUGAUUGUUUCGGGCCAUGCGGACGCUUUGGUUCUCUUUCGACAUGCAAACCUGAUGGAUGUUGUUGCUUUACAUCAUAACGUUUGUUAGAGGUUUGGAAUGCCUCUUUGUCAACCAGAAUAAUAAUAAGAAUAAUAAUAAUAAUGUCAUAGAUAUGUGAUCAUUUUGUUU
Molecule: non-coding RNA, 1091 nt
Organism: Musa acuminata subsp. malaccensis (wild Malaysian banana)
Lineage: Eukaryota; Viridiplantae; Streptophyta; Magnoliopsida; Zingiberales; Musaceae
Source: RefSeq, a predicted model, not a curated record